GUUUGAUCCUGGCUCAGGAUGAACGCUGGCGGUCUGCUUAACACAUGCAAGUCGAACGGGCGCAGAAAUGCGUUAGUGGCGGACGGGUGAGUAACACGUGAGAAUCUGCCAACAGGACGGGGACAACAGAGGGAAACCGCUGCUAAGACCCGAUAAACCGAAAGGGAAAAAAGAAAUUGCCAGUUGAUGAGCUCGCGUCGGAUUAGCUAGUUGGUAGUGUAAGGGACUACCAAGGCGACGAUCCGUAGCCGGUCUGAGAGGACGAUCGGCCACACUGGGACUGAGACACGGCCCAGACUCCUACGGGAGGCAGCAGUGGGGAAUUUUCCGCAAUGGGCGAAAGCCUGACGGAGCAAGACCGCGUGAGGGAGGAAGGCUCUUGGGUUGUAAACCUCUUUUCUCAAGGAAGAAGAAAUGACGGUACUUGAGGAAUCAGCAUCGGCUAACUCCGUGCCAGCAGCCGCGGUAAUACGGAGGAUGCAAGCGUUAUCCGGAAUGAUUGGGCGUAAAGCGUCCGCAGGUGGCAGUUCAAGUCUGCCGUUAAAGACUCCAGCUUAACUGGAGGAAGGCGGUGGAAACUGAACAGCUAGAGUGCGGUAGGGGCAGAGGGAAUUCCCGGUGUAGCGGUGAAAUGCGUAGAGAUCGGGAAGAACACCAGUGGCGAAAGCGCUCUGCUGGACCGCAACUGACACUCAGGGACGAAAGCUAGGGGAGCGAAUGGGAUUAGAUACCCCAGUAGUCCUAGCCGUAAACGAUGGAUACUAGGUGUUGUGCGUAUCGACCCGCGCAGUGCCGCAGCUAACGCGCUAAGUAUCCCGCCUGGGGAGUACGCACGCAAGUGUGAAGCUCAAAGGAAUUGACGGGGGCCCGCACAAGCGGUGGAGUAUGUGGUUUAAUUCGAUGCAACGCGAAGAACCUUACCAGGACUUGACAUGUCCGGAAUCUCGGUGAAAGCUGCGAGUGCCUUCGGGAACCGGAACACAGGUGGUGCAUGGCUGUCGUCAGCUCGUGUCGUGAGAUGUUGGGUUAAGUCCCGCAACGAGCGCAACCCUCGUUUCUAGUUGCCAGCAUUAAGUUGGGCACUCUGGAGAGACUGCCGGUGACAAACCGGAGGAAGGUGGGGAUGACGUCAAGUCAGCAUGCCCCUUACGUCCUGGGCUACACACGUACUACAAUGCUUCAGACAAAGGGCAGCUAGCCAGCGAUGGUCAGCAAAUCCCAGAAACUGAGGCUCAGUUCAGAUCGCAGGCUGCAACUCGCCUGCGUGAAGGCGGAAUCGCUAGUAAUCGCCGGUCAGCAUACGGCGGUGAAUACGUUCCCGGGCCUUGUACACACCGCCCGUCACACCAUGGGAGCUGGCGGUGCCCGAAGUCGUUAUCCUAACCCCUCGGGGAGGGAGACGCCGAAGGCAAAGCUGGUGACUGGGGUGAAGUCGUAACAAGGUAACCGUA
This 1451-nucleotide ribosomal RNA is filed under the name uncultured bacterium. RNAcentral's name for it is "bacterial SSU rRNA". It matches the Rfam family "Bacterial small subunit ribosomal RNA". The record is from RNAcentral.